CCUACGGGAGGCAGCAGUGGGGGAUAUUGCACAAUGGGGGGAACCCUGAUGCAGCGACGCCGCGUGGGUGAAGGAGCGUUUCGGCGCGUAAAGCCCCAUCGGCAGGGAAGAAGAUGACGGUACCUGGCCAAGAAGCCCCGGCCAACUACGUGCAAGCAGCCGCGGCAAUUCGUAGGGGGCAAGUGUUAUCCGGAUUUACUGGGGGUUAAGGGGGUGCAGACGGGAAAGCAAGCCAGGAGUGAAAGCCCGGGGCCCAACCCCGGGACUGCUCUUGGAACUGCAUGGCUGGAGUACAGGAGGGGCAGGCGGAAUUCCUGGUGUAGCGGUGAAAUGCGUAGAUAUUAGGAAGAACACCGGUGGCGAAGGCGGCCUACUGGACUGUGACUGACGUUGAGGCCCGAAGGCGUGGGGAGCGAACAGGAUUAGAUACCCCAGUAGUC
RNAcentral lists this ribosomal RNA (440 nucleotides) under uncultured bacterium. Its description in RNAcentral is "partial 16S ribosomal RNA". It matches the Rfam family "Bacterial small subunit ribosomal RNA", at positions 338 to 795 of the family's 1533-position model. The record is from RNAcentral.